GAUGAACGCUGGCGGCGUGCCUAAUACAUGCAAGUCGAGCGAACAGAUAAGGAGCUUGCUCCUUUGACGUUAGCGGCGGACGGGUGAGUAACACGUGGGUAACCUACCUAUAAGAUUGGGAUAACUUCGGGAAACCGGAGCUAAUACCGGAUAACAUUUGGAACCGCAUGGUUCUAAAGUGAAAGAUGGUUUUGCUAUCACUUAUAGAUGGACCCGCGCCGUAUUAGCUAGUUGGUAAGGUAACGGCUUACCAAGGCAACGAUACGUAGCCGACCUGAGAGGGUGAUCGGCCACACUGGAACUGAGACACGGUCCAGACUCCUACGGGAGGCAGCAGUAGGGAAUCUUCCGCAAUGGGCGAAAGCCUGACGGAGCAACGCCGCGUGAGUGAUGAAGGGUUUCGGCUCGUAAAACUCUGUUAUUAGGGAAGAACAAAUGUGUAAGUAACUGUGCACGUCUUGACGGUACCUAAUCAGAAAGCCACGGCUAACUACGUG
This 497-nucleotide ribosomal RNA is filed under the name uncultured bacterium. RNAcentral describes it as "partial 16S ribosomal RNA". It matches the Rfam family "Bacterial small subunit ribosomal RNA", at positions 28 to 507 of the family's 1533-position model. The record is from RNAcentral.